AACGAACGCUGGCGGCAUGCCUAACACAUGCAAGUCGAACGAGACCUUCGGGUCUAGUGGCGCACGGGUGCGUAACGCGUGGGAACCUGCCCUUAGGUUCGGAAUAACUCCCCGAAAGGGGUGCUAAUACCGGAUAAUGUCUUCGGACCAAAGAUUUAUCGCCUUUGGAUGGGCCCGCGUUGGAUUAGCUAGUUGGUAGGGUAAAAGCCUACCAAGGCGACGAUCCAUAGCUGGUCUGAGAGGAUGAUCAGCCACACUGGGACUGAGACACGGCCCAGACUCCUACGGGAGGAAGCAGUGGGGAAUAUUGGACAAUGGGGGAAAGCCUGAUCAAGCAAUGCCGCGUGAGUGAUGAAGGCCUUAGGGUUGUAAAGCUCUUUUACCCGGGAUGAUAAUGACAGUACCGGGAGAAUAAGCUCCGGCUAACUCCGUG
This 433-nucleotide ribosomal RNA is filed under the name uncultured bacterium. Its description in RNAcentral is "partial 16S ribosomal RNA". It matches the Rfam family "Bacterial small subunit ribosomal RNA", at positions 29 to 507 of the family's 1533-position model. The record is from RNAcentral.